CUACGGGUUGCUGCAGUAAGGAAUAUUGCGCAAUGGAGGCAACUCUGACGCAGCCAUGCCGCGUGCAGGAAGAAGGCCUUAUGGGUCGUAAACUGCUUUUAUUUAGGAAUAAACCCCCGAACGUGUUCGGGGCUGAAGGUACUAAACGAAUAAGCACCGGCUAACUCCGUGCCAGCAGCCGCGGUAAUACGGAGGGUGCAAGCGUUAUCCGGAUUUAUUGGGUUUAAAGGGUGCGCAGGCGGGCUAUUAAGUCAGUGGUGAAAUCCCGGGGCUCAACUCCGGAACUGCCAUUGAUACUGAUAGUCUUGAGUUUGGUUGAAGUGGGCGGAAUGUAGCAUGUAGCGGUGAAAUGCAUAGAUAUGCUACAGAACACCAAUCGCGAAGGCAGCUCACUAAGCCAAAACUAACGCUCAUGCACGAAAGCGUGGGGAUCAAACAGGAUUAGAUACCCCGGUAGUC
This 459-nucleotide ribosomal RNA is filed under the name uncultured bacterium. RNAcentral describes it as "partial 16S ribosomal RNA". It matches the Rfam family "Bacterial small subunit ribosomal RNA", at positions 339 to 795 of the family's 1533-position model. The record is from RNAcentral.